GUGAGGAAUAUUGGUCAAUGGACGAGAGUCUGAACCAGCCAAGUAGCGUGCAGGAUGACGGCCCUAUGGGUUGUAAACUGCUUUUAUACAGGGAUAAAGUGGGGAACGUGUUCCCUUUUGUAGGUACUGUAUGAAUAAGGACCGGCUAAUUCCGUGCCAGCAGCCGCGGUAAUACGGAAGGUCCGGGCGUUAUCCGGAUUUAUUGGGUUUAAAGGGAGCGCAGGCUGAUGAUUAAGCGUGACGUGAAAUGUAGCCGCUCAACGGCUGAACUGCGUCGCGAACUGGUUAUCUUGAGUGAGUUCGAUGUUGGCGGAAUUCGUGGUGUAGCGGUGAAAUGCUUAGAUAUCACGAAGAACUCCGAUUGCGAAGGCAGCCAACAAGGCCUUUACUGACGCUAAAGCUCGAAGGUGCGGGUAUCGAACAGG
RNAcentral lists this ribosomal RNA (425 nucleotides) under uncultured rumen bacterium. RNAcentral's name for it is "bacterial SSU rRNA". It matches the Rfam family "Bacterial small subunit ribosomal RNA", at positions 354 to 776 of the family's 1533-position model. The record is from RNAcentral.